Molecule: ribosomal RNA, 253 nt
Filed under: uncultured bacterium
Lineage: Bacteria
Description: partial 16S ribosomal RNA
Rfam family: Bacterial small subunit ribosomal RNA
Source: RNAcentral
UACGUAGGGGGCAAGCGUUGUCCGGAAUCAUUGGGCGUAAAGCGCGUGUAGGCGGUCAGGUAGGUCCGUUGUGAAAACUCGAGGCUCAACCUCGAGACGCCGAUGGAGACCAUCUGACUAGAGUCCGGAAGAGGAGAGUGGAAUUCCUGGUGUAGCGGUGAAAUGCGCAGAUAUCAGGAGGAACACCGAUGGCGAAGGCAGGUCUCUGGGCCACUACUGACGCUGAGAAGCGAAAGCGUGGGGAGCGAACAGG